This 465-nucleotide ribosomal RNA is filed under the name uncultured Roseateles sp. RNAcentral describes it as "bacterial SSU rRNA". It matches the Rfam family "Bacterial small subunit ribosomal RNA", at positions 338 to 795 of the family's 1533-position model. Lineage: Bacteria; Pseudomonadati; Pseudomonadota; Betaproteobacteria; Burkholderiales; Sphaerotilaceae. The record is from RNAcentral.
CCUACGGGCGGCUGCAGUGGGGAAUUUUGGACAAUGGGCGCAAGCCUGAUCCAGCCAUGCCGCGUGCGGGAAGAAGGCCUUCGGGUUGUAAACCGCUUUUGUCAGGGAAGAAAAGGUUCUGGCUAAUACCUGGGACUCAUGACGGUACCUGAAGAAUAAGCACCGGCUAACUACGUGCCAGCAGCCGCGGUAAUACGUAGGGUGCAAGCGUUAAUCGGAAUUACUGGGCGUAAAGCGUGCGCAGGCGGUUAUGCAAGACAGAGGUGAAAUCCCCGGGCUCAACCUGGGAACUGCCUUUGUGACUGCAUGGCUAGAGUACGGUAGAGGGGGAUGGAAUUCCGCGUGUAGCAGUGAAAUGCGUAGAUAUGCGGAGGAACACCGAUGGCGAAGGCAAUCCCCUGGACCUGUACUGACGCUCAUGCACGAAAGCGUGGGGAGCAAACAGGAUUAGAUACCCGAGUAGUC